RNAcentral lists this ribosomal RNA (397 nucleotides) under uncultured bacterium. RNAcentral's name for it is "bacterial SSU rRNA". It matches the Rfam family "Bacterial small subunit ribosomal RNA", at positions 29 to 416 of the family's 1533-position model. The record is from RNAcentral.
AACGAACGCUGGCGGCGCGCCUAAUACAUGCAAGUCGAGCGAGAAGACGUAGCAAUACGUUUGUAAAGCGGCGAACGGGUGAGGAAUACAUGGGUAACCUACCCUCGAGUGGGGAAUAACUAGCCGAAAGGUUAGCUAAUACCGCGUACGCUCCUUGGACUUCGGUUCAGGGAGGAAAGCGAUACCGUGGGUAUCGCGCUCUUGGAUGGGCUCAUGUCCUAUCAGCUUGUUGGUGAGGUAACGGCUCACCAAGGCUUCGACGGGUAGCUGGUCUGAGAGGACGAUCAGCCACACUGGCACUGCGACACGGGCCAGACUCCUACGGGAGGCAGCAGUAAGGAAUAUUGCGCAAUGGGCGAAAGCCUGACGCAGCGACGCCGCGUGGGGGAUGACGGCC